GUGAAUGUGACACACAGAGGAAAUGCUCCCAGGUUAGUCUUAUCUUUCCAAAGUCGAAACAUGUUCUCCAUAAAAUACCUGGCAUUCACACAGGAAAAAGGAACUACUAUUUCUGUCUGGUAUAGAUAGUACAUAUCUAGUGACAGCAACAGACUACUGCCGGCGCUCAUUCCUCUGCAAGUACAGUUCAUUGUAGUGGUCGGGGCAUGCAGCAGUCUGGAGAAGGGCUGACGAAGGGGCCAGCCCCCGAAACAUUGUGAACUUUUGUAUGACACAAUAAACACGUAGAGGAUAUUCCCCUUUUGCAAGUGCUA
Long non-coding RNA from Xenopus laevis (African clawed frog), 314 nucleotides. RefSeq lists it as uncharacterized. The transcript has 2 exons. NCBI's taxonomy places the organism in Eukaryota, Metazoa, Chordata, Amphibia, Anura, Pipidae. The record is from RefSeq and is a predicted model, not a curated record.